CUGGAGGUAUCAGAAGUGCGAAUGCUGACAUAAGUAACGAUAAAGCGGGUGAAAAGCCCGCUCGCCGGAAGACCAAGGGUUCCUGUCCAACGUUAAUCGGGGCAGGGUGAGUCGACCCCUAAGGCGAGGCCGAAAGGCGUAGUCGAUGGGAAACAGGUUAAUAUUCCUGUACUUGGUGUUACUGCGAAGGGGGGACGGAGAAGGCUAUGUUGGCCGGGCGACGGUUGUCCCGGUUUAAGCGUGUAGGCUGGUUUUCCAGGCAAAUCCGGAAAAUCAAGGCUGAGGCGUGAUGACGAGGCACUACGGUGCUGAAGCAACAAAUGCCCUGCUUCCAGGAAAAGCCUCUAAGCAUCAGGUAACAUCAAAUCGUACCCCAAACCGACACAGGUGGUCAGGUAGAGAAUACCAAGGCGCUUGAGAGAACUCGGGUGAAGGAACUAGGCAAAAUGGUGCCGUAACUUCGGGAGAAGGCACGCUGAUAUGUAGGUGAAGUCCCUCGCGGAUGGAGCUGAAAUCAGUCGAAGAUACCAGCUGGCUGCAACUGUUUAUUAAAAACACAGCACUGUGCAAACACGAAAGUGGACGUAUACGGUGUGACGCCUGCCCGGUGCCGGAAGGUUAAUUGAUGGGGUCAGCGCAAGCGAAGCUCUUGAUCGAAGCCCCGGUAAACGGCGGCCGUAACUAUAACGGUCCUAAGGUAGCGAAAUUCCUUGUCGGGUAAGUUCCGACCUGCACGAAUGGCGUAAUGAUGGCCAGGCUGUCUCCACCCGAGACUCAGUGAAAUUGAACUCGCUGUGAAGAUGCAGUGUACCCGCGGCAAGACGGAAAGACCCCGUGAACCUUUACUAUAGCUUGACACUGAACAUUGAGCCUUGAUGUGUAGGAUAGGUGGGAGGCUUUGAAGUGUGGACGCCAGUCUGCAUGGAGCCGGCCUUGAAAUACCACCCUUUAAUGUUUGAUGUUCUAACGUUGACCCGUGAUCCGGGUUGCGGACAGUGUCUGGUGGGUAGUUUGACUGGGGCGGUCUCCUCCUAAAGAGUAACGGAGGAGCACGAAGGUUGGCUAAUCCUGGUCGGACAUCAGGAGGUUAGUGCAAUGGCAUAAGCCAGCUUGACUGCGAGCGUGACGGCGCGAGCAGGUGCGAAAGCAGGUCAUAGUGAUCCGGUGGUUCUGAAUGGAAGGGCCAUCGCUCAACGGAUAAAAGGUACUCCGGGGAUAACAGGCUGAUACCGCCCAAGAGUUCAUAUCGACGGCGGUGUUUGGCACCUCGAUGUCGGCUCAUCACAUCCUGGGGCUGAAGUAGGUCCCAAGGGUAUGGCUGUUCGCCAUUUAAAGUGGUACGCGAGCUGGGUUUAGAACGUCGUGAGACAGUUCGGUCCCUA
This 1382-nucleotide ribosomal RNA is filed under the name Escherichia coli. RNAcentral's name for it is "partial 23S ribosomal RNA". It matches the Rfam family "Bacterial large subunit ribosomal RNA", at positions 1273 to 2640 of the family's 2925-position model. Lineage: Bacteria; Pseudomonadati; Pseudomonadota; Gammaproteobacteria; Enterobacterales; Enterobacteriaceae. The record is from RNAcentral.